RNAcentral lists this ribosomal RNA (828 nucleotides) under Leuconostoc pseudomesenteroides. RNAcentral's name for it is "bacterial SSU rRNA". It matches the Rfam family "Bacterial small subunit ribosomal RNA", at positions 54 to 869 of the family's 1533-position model. The record is from RNAcentral. Lineage: Bacteria; Bacillati; Bacillota; Bacilli; Lactobacillales; Lactobacillaceae.
CAUGGCAAGUCGAACGAACAGCGAAAGGUGCUUGCGCCUUUCAAGUGAGUGGCGAUCGGGUGAGUGACACGCGGACGACUGCCCCAGGGAUGGGGAUAACAUUUGGAAACAGAUGCUAAUACCGAAUAAAACUUAGUAUCGCAUGACACAAAUUUAAAAGGCGCUUUGGCGUCACCUGGAUAUGGAUCCGCGGUGCAUUUGAUAGUUGGUGGGGUAAAGGCCUACCAAGACAAUGAUGCAUAGCCGACUUGAAAGACUGAUCGGCCACAUUGGGACUGAGACACGGCCCAAACUCCUAAGGGAGGCGCAGUAGGGAAUCUUCCACAAUGGGCGAAAGCCUGAUGGAGCAACACCGCUUGUGUGAUGAAGGCUUUCGGGUGAAAGCACUGUUGUAUGGGAAGAACUCUGAAUAGAGAAUGAUUUUAGUUUGACAGUGCCAUACCAUAGACGGACGGCUAAAUACGUGCCAGCACCCGCGGUAAUACGUAUGUCCCGAGCGUUAUCCGGAUUUAUUGGGCGUAAAGCGAGCGCGGACGGUUAAUUAAGUCUGAUGUGAUAGCCCGGAGCUCGACUCCGGCAUGGGAUUGGAAACUGGUUAACUUGAGAGCAGUAGAGGUAAGUGUGACUCCAUGUGUAGCGGAGCACUGUGUAUAUCUAUGGAAUAACACCAGUGGCGAAGGCGGCUUACUGGACAGUGACUGUCGCUGAUGUGUAACUGAGUGUGAAGCUCACAGAUUAGAUACCCUGCUAGAUCACACACUAUGCUAUGACCUCUAGGAGUCGAGAAGUGUUAGCCUCUGAGAGCCGUCCGUCACGCAUUGCGCGAUC